GUGUCUCCUGCUCCACAGCUUGUUUGUGAACCUGCAGGCAUGGUGCUUGAUUUCUAAGACAAUGCAAAGCAGUUCUCGCUAGGUACAACACGGUUGGGUGGCAUAAGCCUCUUCUUCAUAGAUUCUCAUUUUGUGCCUUUUUCUCCUUCGCCUUCAUCCAGAUACAGCUGCUACAAACAGGGCAGGAGGCAGAGCACGUGUGCUGUUGGGGCUGCGGGCAGCACAGUCACAUCGAGGACUCAGGCAGUGCUGGGAGAAGAGCUCUUCAUUUACUCUGGGGCUGACUCCUAGAUGCUCAGAGACACGAGUGUUCCUGCUUACUGAGUGUCUUCAAGAACGAACUGGAAUUAAAGCACUAAGCAACGCAUUAUUGGUGACAAGCUGCUGGGUAUCUAAUCUCAGACAGAGCCACAGUGAAAAAUGCUGUGGAUGA
This 433-nucleotide long non-coding RNA is filed under the name Anas platyrhynchos (mallard). RNAcentral describes it as "lncRNA (ENSAPLG00020007581.1)". Lineage: Eukaryota; Metazoa; Chordata; Aves; Anseriformes; Anatidae. The record is from RNAcentral.